RNAcentral lists this long non-coding RNA (3041 nucleotides) under Homo sapiens (human). RNAcentral describes it as "HSALNT0380232". Lineage: Eukaryota; Metazoa; Chordata; Mammalia; Primates; Hominidae. The record is from RNAcentral.
ACACUUGUGACACGGCCUCAGGCGGUCCUGAUGACAUGUGUCCAAGGUGGUCAGAACACAGUUUGGUUUUAUACAUUCUAGGGAGGCAUGAGACAUCAGUCAACAAAUGUAAGAUGAACACUGGUUCAGUCUGAAAAGCCGGGACAACUAGAAGUAGUGCGGGGCUUCCAGAUAACAGGUAGAUAAGAGACAAAUGGUCACAUUCUUUUGAGUUUCUGAUUAGCCUUUCCAAAGGAGGCAAUCAUAUAUGCAUUCAUCUCAGUGAGCAGAAGGGUGACUUUGAGUGGAAUGGGAGGCAAAUUUGCUCUAAGCAGUUCCCAGCUUGACUUUUCCCUUUAGCUUAGUGAUUUUGGUGGCCCAAUAUAUCUUCCUUUCACGGCUUUUAUCUGAAGGCUCUGGGGAGAAUUCAAUUACUGGCUCAUUCAAGCUGUUGGCAGAUUUCUGUUCCAUGAGGCUGCAGGACUGAGGUCCCUGUUUCCUUGCCCGCUGUCAGCUGAGGCCACUCUCAGAUUUAAAGGCCACUCUCAUUCCUUCUUGUGUGUCCUUCCCCAUCUUCAAACCAGCAAUGGAGCAUCAAGUCCUUCUCAUGCCUCAAAAUUCUCUUACUUCUACUGCCAGCUGAAGAAAACUCUGCUUUCAAAGGGCAUAUGUGAUAAGAUUAGACCCACCCAGGUAACCUAACUGGCCUUUUCAAUAUAACAUGUAAUGAUCUCAGGAGUGACACCAGAAAGCAAAGGUCUAGGAGCCAUCUUAAAAUUCUGCCACUACAGACAGGAACCAUAGAUUGGGAGCACAGUUAGAGACAGGAUCUCACUCUGUCACCCAGGCUGGUGUGCAGUGGCACUAUCAUAGCUCACUGCAGCCUCAAACUCCUGGGCUCAAGCCAUCCUCCUGCCUCAGCUUCCCGAGUAGCUGGGACUAUAGGUGUGUGCCACCAUGCUCAGCUAGUUUUUUUAAAAAAAAGUUUUGUAGAGAUGGAGUCUCGCUAUGUUGCCAAGAAUGGUCUUGAACUCCUGGCCUCAAAUGAUCCACUCACCUCAGCCUUUAAAAGAAUUGGGCUUGCAGGUGUGAACCACUGCACCCAGCCUGAAGCACAGCUUUCUUAUGGGACUACUCCAGAUGUCCAAAGAUUAGCUCGUCUGGUUAAAAUUUUUGCUACCUCCUUCCCUUCAAAAAUCCUGUUACAUGUUGACAAUCUGGGAUUGAAAAUAAUGUUCUAUAACACCGGCUGAAUUUCUCUCUUUCAUAUUUUUCAGACUGACCCACCCCUGCCCAUUUCUUUUAUUUAUUUAUUUAUUUUUUGAGACAGAGUCAUCUUGGCUCACUGCAACCUCUGCCUCCUGGGCUCAAUCGAUUCUCCCACCUCAGCCUCUUGAGUAGCUGGGAUUACAGGCGCCCACCACCACACCUGGCUAGUGUUUUGUAUUUUUAGUAGAGAUGAGGUUUCACCAUAUUGCCGAGGCUGUUCUUGAACUCCAGAGCUCAAGCAGUCCGCCCGCCUCAGCCUCCCAAAGUGCUGGGAUUACAGGCGUGAGUCACCACGCCUGGCCUACGCCCCUGCCCCAUUCCUAACUCCUCGAACUCUCUGUACAAUUAUAUUUGCUAUUCCCACUUGCUUCCCUUGUUCAUCAUUUCUCUCCUUUCUAUACCCUUAUCACUUUCCAUCUGUUUUCAAAACAAGCAAAGGUGCUCCCAGGUGUCAUCACCUAGGACUUCUAAUUAAGUGCCCUUUGAGGAAUUAAUACGAUGAGUUGUAGGAGUUAAUAUGAUGAUCUGUACAGAGCUCCGUGGUUGUCUAUUUUCCUGGUCCCCAUCUCUGCAGUAGAUCAUUACAGAAAUAGGCUUCAAACCACUGGGCGAACUAUGGCAUUAGUCAGGGGCAAGGCUAAGUGGCUGCAAGAAAGAGAAUAACAUUUCAUACCUUAAGUACAAAGAAGUCUGUUUUUUUCUCACGUAGAAACCAGGAAAUAUAAACAGUUGUCACUAAGUAUCUUUGGAGGAUUAGUCCGAGGACCUCCCUCAAAUACCAAAAUCCAGGGAUGCUCAAUUCCGUGGUACAAAAUGAAGUAGCGUUUGCAUAUAACCAAGAGGAGGAAAAUGAGCUGCAGAAGGAUCAAAUGACCUGCCUGAGGUGCCCUAUCUGUUGGCACAGGCCAGAGCACAUGGUGGAUGCAGGGGCACCCCCUUCCCUUCUCCUCCCCUCCGGCUCUUUGCUGACAGGAUUCUCUCUUGCCUUCUCUGAUGGUACCUGUGCUACGUGCCACAUCCUUUCCCUCAAUGAAUUUCAGGCAGUGGAAGGGGCCGCAGAAGUUCCUUGACUCAUGAGGCGAGGCAUUCAGCGGCCUCGUGACACCUCCCAGGAUCUGCAGUCAUUGGGCUGCACUUGCCAAUAGCAACACCUGGCAAAAAUAGCUAAGAAGCAGAGCGGCCUGGGCUCAGGAGCUGAGCAACCCCUGACUGGCCAGAUGGAGACUGUGUUGAGCUCUGCCCAAGCCCUGUGAUCCUGGAAAACAGUGAAGUUAAGGAGCCAUCUGCAUUCUAGGGAAUGGCCCACUGCAAAAAAUAGCCUUCCUUAUAGGACGUAGAGGACUCAUGAUGUCCCCUCAUUUAUGAUGAGCCAACACACAGCCCUUCCAAAUUCCGAUUCUUUGCUUCAUAACUGAUGAGCUGUUUUGUUCCCACUGGUCAAUCGGAACAACAUUCUUGCUAACCAGAUUUUGGUUCAGCUCUUCUCCCUCCCCAUGUACCUGCCCUGUGUCCUGUCCUCAUCCUGAGCCAGCACACACCCCUCCUUAGUAGCUCCUCCUGCAGCAGGCUGACCUCGGACUCUCCCUGAUCCAUUGUCCAAAUAUAUCACCCUUUCACCCUACAUCCUCACACCCCAUUCUUUCUAGUUUUGUUCAUUCCUCCCUGUGAAAGAUGAACCCUCUUUGCCUAACCCCGGACCUGCUUGCAGACUGCUAUGAUGGCCAGAGUGUCCCCCCUACUGCAAGAGUCCCUUCUGUCCCUUGCAACAUCUUUUAAAUAAAAUCUCUCUUUAC